UCACCAGCAAUCUCAUCUUCAUCAAUGCUCAAGCCCAGUUUCAACAUCCUGUGAAUCCUAGCAGCGAAUGUGUUUGGAUCAUCCAGGCUAAAGCCAGAGGUCAAGAGGGCAGUCUCAAACAGCAGUAGCACAAGGUCCUUCACAGAUUUGUCAUUCUUGUCAACCUCAGCCCUCUUCCUUAACUCCUCCAUGAUUCCAUUGUCAGGAUUGAUCUCCAUUGUUUUCUUGCUAGAC
RNAcentral lists this long non-coding RNA (234 nucleotides) under Manihot esculenta (cassava). RNAcentral describes it as "long non-coding RNA (MESC_LNC008260)". The record is from RNAcentral. Lineage: Eukaryota; Viridiplantae; Streptophyta; Magnoliopsida; Malpighiales; Euphorbiaceae.